GUGGAUUAGAUACCCUGGUAGUCCACGCCGUAAACGGUGUAUACUAGGUGUUAGUGGUUUAACCACUAGUGCCGAAGCUAACGCAUUAAGUAUACCGCCUGGGGAGUACGCCCGCAAGGGUGAAACUCAAAGAAAUUGACGGGGGCCCGCACAAGCGGUGGAGCAUGUGGUUUAAUUCGAUGAUACGCGAAAAACCUUACCUGGGCUUGAACUGUGCUUGAUCGGUGUAGAGAUACACCUUCCUUCGGGCAGGUACAGAGGUGCUGCACGGCCGUCGCCAACU
Molecule: ribosomal RNA, 283 nt
Filed under: uncultured bacterium
Lineage: Bacteria
Description: partial 16S ribosomal RNA
Rfam family: Bacterial small subunit ribosomal RNA
Source: RNAcentral